This 1410-nucleotide ribosomal RNA is filed under the name uncultured bacterium. Its description in RNAcentral is "bacterial SSU rRNA". It matches the Rfam family "Bacterial small subunit ribosomal RNA". The record is from RNAcentral.
AGAGUUUGAUCCUGGCUCAGGACGAACGCUGGCGGCGUGGAUUAGGCAUGCAAGUCGAACGGUAUGGCACCUUCGGGUGUCAGAGAGUGGCGAACGGGUGAGUAACACGUAGGUUAUCUACCCUCAAGAUCGGGACAACCCAGGGAAACUUGGGCUAAUACCGGAUGUGAGCAUCCUUUUUGGAUGUUUGAAAGGUGGCUUUUAGCUGUCGCUUGAGGAUGAGCCUGCGUCCUAUUAGUUAGUUGGUGAGGUAAUGGCUCCCCAAGGCUAUGAUAGGUAGGCGGCCUUAACGGGUGGUCGCCCACACUGGGAUUGAGAUACGGCCCAGACUCCUACGGGAGGCAGCAGUCGAGAAUAGUCUACAAUGGCCGAAAGGCUGAUAGUGCGACGCCGCGUGAACGAGGAAGCCCUUCGGGGUGUAAAGUUCUUUUAUAUGUGAGCAGUGCCGGUCAUAUUAAUAGUAUGACUGGAGCGAUAUUAGCAUAUGAAUAAGCAACGGCUAACUCCGUGCCAGCAGCCGCGGUAACACGGGGGUUGCGAGCGUUGUCCGGAAUUACUAGGCGUAAAGGGCAGGCAGGCGGACCUGCAAGUUUUCUGUUAAAGACGUCAGCUCAACUGGCGCACGGCAGGAGAUACUGCAGAUCUUGAAUGCGGUUGGGGAAGACAGAAUUCCUGGUGUAGCGGUGGAAUGCGCAGAGAUCAGGAGGAAUACCAAAGGCGAAGGCAGUCUUCCAAGCCGUUAUUGACGCUCAACUGCGAAGGUGUGGGUAUCAAACAGGAUUAGAUACCCUGGUAGUCCACACAGUAAACGAUGAUCACUAGGUGUCGGUUUGGUAAUAGGAUUCGGUGCCGUAGCUAACGGCGUUAAGUGAUUCGCCUGGGGAGUACGAUCGCAAGGUUGAAACUCAAAGGAAUUGACGGGGGCCCGCACAAGCGGUGGAGCAUGUGGUUUAAUUCGAGGCAACGCGAAGAACCUUACCCGGUCUUGACAUCUGUGGAAUUCUUCAGAGAUGAGGGAGUGCCGGUUUACCGGAGCCACAAGACAGGUGCUGCAUGGCUGUCGUCAGCUCGUGUCGUGAGAUGUUGGGUUAAGUCCCGCAACGAGCGCAACCCCUGCUUUCAGUUACCAUCAUUAAGUUGGGGACUCUGGAAGGACCGCUGCGGUAACAACGCAGAGGAAGAUGGGGACGAUGUCAGGUCAUCAUGGUCCUUAUGACCGGGGCUACACACGUGUUACAAUGGGAGGUACAGAGGGCAGCUAUCCGGUGACGGAAUGCUAAUCUCCAAAACCUUUCUCAGUUCGGAUUGGAGUGUGCAACUCGACUCCAUGAAGGUGGAUUCGCUAGUAAUCGCGCAUCAGCCAUGGCGCGGUGAAUACGUUCCCGGGCCUUGUACUCACCGCCCGUCAAG